RNAcentral lists this long non-coding RNA (847 nucleotides) under Homo sapiens (human). RNAcentral describes it as "HSALNT0033828". Lineage: Eukaryota; Metazoa; Chordata; Mammalia; Primates; Hominidae. The record is from RNAcentral.
CAAGCUCCCAGCUCUCUUUAGCUGCAGAACUCCCAUUCCUGCAUGAUGGCUGAGCAGAAUGGCAGGCAAAGACUGGAUUUUUGGGGAGGAGGGCAAGUGCCACUGAGGAUUUCCCAAGGGCCUUAAGGUGGGCCCCAAAACCAGCGAGGAGAGAGGAGGGCAGGAGACCCAAAAAGAAAGUUAGUGGAGCAGAGCUGAGGAACCCAGGCUGCCUGAGCCUCUGGGGCUCUGGGUCUGAAAUGGCUGGGGGGAUGCGCUAGCUGAGAGAGGCAACAGGGUCGUAGAGGCAGAGGGGUCAAAGGGGAGGACAGGAAAGAAGCAGGAGGAACCCGGGAAGGCACCCGACGCCUGCGCACCGCCGGAGAGAGGCCAGGCCCCAGGCUCAGCUAGAGGCAAGCGCACCCGAAGGAGCCAAGCUGAGCAGGACAGAGUCCAGGCCUGGAAAGCCGGCCUGGAGAGCCGGCCUGGUGCACCGGCCAGAGCACCCCGAGGGAUACGAAAGAAGAAAGAAUGCUGGACACAGGUUCUGAGCACCUGAACCGGAUACUGAAGGCUCUGCCAGCCCUCCAGAGCGCUGGCAGUGAAGGACAGAACGGCUCCGCAGAAAGGUACUGGGUAGUGUCUGGGGGAGCCUGGCCUACGAAUUCCACCCACUCACAUACAUCCCUUAGCUCCCCUAGCACCCAGCACAGGCCUCACAUUGCCGACCCUAGAGAGGGCUGCUGCGGGUCGUGGUGUUGGGGGUAGGGGGCAGGGGAGUGUAUUUAUCCACAGGCACCAGGGAUCCAGUUCCUAGCACCACGAAGGCUCGGGAGGUCAGUCCCUCCCGCUGAGCGGCCAAAAGGCA